UACGUAGGGUGCGAGCGUUAAUCGGAAUUACUGGGCGUAAAGCGUGCGCAGGCGGUUUUGUAAGUCUGUCGUGAAAUCCCCGGGCUCAACCUGGGAAUUGCGAUGGAGACUGCAAGGCUAGAAUCUGGCAGAGGGGGGGUAGAAUUCCACGUGUAGCAGUGAAAUGCGUAGAGAUGUGGAGGAACACCGAUGGCGAAGGCAGCCCCCCUGGGUCAAGAUUGACGCUCAUGCACGAAAGCGU
RNAcentral lists this ribosomal RNA (241 nucleotides) under uncultured bacterium. RNAcentral describes it as "partial 16S ribosomal RNA". It matches the Rfam family "Bacterial small subunit ribosomal RNA", at positions 524 to 762 of the family's 1533-position model. The record is from RNAcentral.